GUGGAGGCCAAGGGUGGUGUGGGGCGCCCCCUCGCGGCCCGGCCCGGCCCGGCCCGGCCCGGGCUCGCCUCACCUCCCCGCCUGCUUAAGCCCUCCCGGAGCGCUCGGGGUUCAACCCCCGAGCACGGCGGGAGGAGGGCGCCCCCCUGCGGCACAGCCACGUCCACGAAGCCCCUCCCGGGGUUCUAGAAAGCGGAGGCCUCCGAAGGAAAGACCAAGAUGCAGAGAGAUGUCUAAAAGGUGCCAGAAGGUGACUAUCCAGCCCUGGUAUCACUGCCUGGUGAUUUCGUUUCUUUGAUCUUCACGAAUGGCCUCACUGGCUGUGAUUUGGACAGAAAUCAACUGCCACGUGCAACAUUCUCCCAUGGGAACAUGUGUCCGCAGUACCUAUCUCAGAGCCCAAAUCCUUCCUGCCCCACAGCCUUCUCCUGGGACCUGCCUUGGGUAAGCUGAGAAAUUGGGAUGGGAGGUGUGGGGGUGGGACAGAGUGUGCAGGUCUCUGGCCACCAGAGAAGCAGGAAGGGAUAAAGAUUCCUCCCAAUGUAUCUCCUGGCCUGGGUGUUUCUGCUGCCCACAAGUAUGUUGCUGUGAUUCUCAGGUCAAAGAGGCUCUCAGUUGCCUCAAAAGCUGCACCCUCGGCUGGGCUUGGUGGCUCACGCUUGUAAUUCCGGCGCUUUGGGAGGCCAAGGCAGGUAGAUCACUUGAGGUCAGGAGUUCGAGACUAGCCUGACCAAUAUGGUGAAACCCUGUCUCCACUAAAAAUACAAAAAAAUUAGUCGGGCAUGGUCGUGGGUGCCUGUAGUCCUAGCUUCUCGGAAGGCCGAGACAGGAGAAUUGCUUGAACCCAGCAGGCAGAGGUUGCAGUGAACCGAGACGGUGCCACUGCACUCCAGCCUGGGUGACAUAGUGAGACUCUGUCUCAAAAAAAAAAAAAUGCUGCACCCUGACCUCCUUCACUUUGCCUUCCCUGGGACGUGUACGCCAUCCCUUUGAUCCUCCUUCCUCGCCCCUCCUCCUCCUCCUGGAGUUAGCCUUCAUGCACUUGUUUAUUUGCUCAUCAUAGAUUUACUGGGUACCCUGAACACCCUCUGGGUCGGGCCAAAGCCAGGUGCUGGGGAGGCGCCCUUUAGAGGAUCAGCUGAGCCUUCUGGUCACGCAUGGCGAUUCCAUCAGCCCUGGCCCGGCACCCCUCUUGUUUGUGUCACUCAGCUGUGAAGACCUGUUGCCCAUGCUUGUCUUUGAUCUCCCCCAGCGGGGCUUCUGCUGGCUUAGCCUUUCCUCCCUCCAGCUCUGCCUGUGAGGUCCAGUGAUCCUUCCGGGCAGUGGACCCUGCUGUGUGGGCACCUCACAGGCUCCGCAGGAAGCUUCUGGCUUCCAGCACCCCCUCACCUUGCUCACACUUUGCCUCCACCCCUCAAGCAGGCAUGAUUCCUCAGUGAUGCCCCAGACUCUAUAAGGACCUGAAUUCAAACCAGUUUGCUUAGGGGACAUUCAAUUUGUAGCUGUGAAAAUGAAUUUAAAGUUCACCUGAAAAAAAAAGAACAAAAGUAGACUAUCCAGGCCGGGCGCUGUGGCUCACGCCUGUAAUCCCAGUACUUUGGGAGGCCGAGGCGGGUGGAUCACGAGGUCAGGAGAUCGAGACCAUCCUGGCUAACACGGUGAAACCCCAUCUUUACUAAAAAUACAAAAAAUUAGCUGGGCGUAGUGAUGGACACCUGUAGUCCCAGCUACUCGGGAGGCUGAGGCAGAAGAAUGGCGUGAACCCGGGAGGCGGAGCUUGCAGUGAGCCGAGAUCACGCCACUGCACUCCCUCCUGGGCGACAGAGCAAGACUCCGUCUCAAAAAAAAAAGUAGACUAUCCAGGACUUUUUUUGGGAGGGGGGAAUAUAAAAAACCAUGAAAGAUAUAUCCCUCACCAAAUAUUAAAUGAAUAAUUAAGUUAAAAAGCUUUUUUGCUUUAACUGGUUUGGUACUGUUGCUGAAAUAUGCAAAAGCAAUUCAAUGGGACAGAAUACACCCAAGAAAUAGAUCCAGAUAUCUACAUGGAAGAAACGGUAUCCAGACUGCAAAAAAAACUCAG
Pan troglodytes (chimpanzee) is the source of this 2080-nucleotide long non-coding RNA. RefSeq lists it as uncharacterized. Lineage: Eukaryota; Metazoa; Chordata; Mammalia; Primates; Hominidae. The record is from RefSeq and is a predicted model, not a curated record. The transcript is spliced from 3 exons.